Molecule: long non-coding RNA, 237 nt
Filed under: Lathyrus oleraceus (garden pea)
Lineage: Eukaryota; Viridiplantae; Streptophyta; Magnoliopsida; Fabales; Fabaceae
Description: Pisum sativum (pea) long non-coding RNA (PSAT_LNC023698)
Source: RNAcentral
UCCAUCAAAAAAUCAUCAAAUUAUUCAUUCAAGUUCAUUUUCUACACCUCCACCAUUAAUCCAAUAAUCCAUCACAUUACAACCCAAAUUCUAUUUCACUAUACCUCCAAUUUCCAAAUUCAAAAUUCCAUACAUACCAUAUCAUUUGAAUUACAAUAGCAUACACUAUAACCAUUAACUCAAACUGAUACAAUAGUUACGAAAAUUACAAUAUACAAAUAGACAACCCGAGGUCAU